GACGAACGCUGGCGGCGUGCCUAAUACAUGCAAGUCGAACGCAGUGGGGACGGGUGAGUAACACGUGGGUAACCUCCCAUCAGAGGGGAUAACACUUGGAAACAGGUGCUAAACCGAUACUGAUGUAUGUACCCGCUGUGCAUUAGCUAGUGGGUGGGGUAACGGCUCACCAAGGCCACGAUGCAUAGCCGGCCUGAGAGGGUGAGCGGCCACACUGGAACUGAGACACGGUCCAGACGCCUACGGGAGGCAGCAGUAGGGAAUAUUCGGCAAUGGACGAAAGUCUGAGCGAGCAACGCCGCGUGAGUGAAGAAGGUCUUCGGGUCGUAAAAUUCGGUUGUUAGGGAGGCGGUAUCUAACCAGUAAGCAACGGCUAACUCCGUGCCAGCAGCCGCGGUAAUAC
RNAcentral lists this ribosomal RNA (403 nucleotides) under uncultured bacterium. RNAcentral's name for it is "partial 16S ribosomal RNA". It matches the Rfam family "Bacterial small subunit ribosomal RNA", at positions 28 to 526 of the family's 1533-position model. The record is from RNAcentral.